RNAcentral lists this long non-coding RNA (545 nucleotides) under Physcomitrium patens. Its description in RNAcentral is "long non-coding RNA (PPAT_LNC000776)". Lineage: Eukaryota; Viridiplantae; Streptophyta; Bryopsida; Funariales; Funariaceae. The record is from RNAcentral.
CCAAUCGUCUGAUAUCACUAAAAUCUUAACAGAUAUUUUUGUAAGUCAAAACCAAACUACAAACUUGAAAAUUCAUAUCCCACGAUCUAACUAUUCAAAUAAGCUCAAAAUUUGGAAGUACAAAACUUUAACCUUUCAUCAUCAUUACAUAGAUUUUUAGCUACAAAUUUAUUACCAAUCAUAUGAUAUAACCAAAACCGUAGCAAAUACCUUUGAAAGUCAAAAUCCUAGAUAUCUAAGAACAAAUUUCACCAUUUCUUCCAAGUCAAAGUCUCAAUUGAUAUGAGAUUUUAGACAUAGGCUCUUUAUAUCAUAAGUGACAUGUAUACAAAAAAUGAGCUUCAAAUCCAUCUUGAAGCUCAAGUUCUAGCUUAAAAUCAAAACCCUCUAUUUCUUUAAUUUCUUCAAAAUACUAGUUUUAGUUUGCUGGUUUUAACUAGCCAUAUCUCACUUAUUUUAGACUCAAUUCUAUUGAUCUUUGGAUGUAAAAUGUUCAACUUGAAGUUUAGUUUCUAAUCCAAUUUCUUAAUUUCUUGUUAGUAUCU